CUUAGAGUUUGAUCCUGGCUCAGGAUGAACGCUGGCGGUAUGCUUAACACAUGCAAGUCGAACGGUGUCUUCGGACAUAGUGGCGGACGGGUGAGUAACGCGUGAGAAUCUAGCUUCAGGUCUGGGACAACCACUGGAAACGGUGGCUAAUACCGGAUGUGCCGGAAGGUGAAAGGCUUGCUGCCUGAAGAUGAGCUCGCGUCCGAUUAGCUAGUAGGUGGGGUAAGAGCCUACCUAGGCGACGAUCGGUAGCUGGUCUGAGAGGAUGACCAGCCACACUGGGACUGAGACGCGGCCCAGACUCCUACGGGAGGCAGCAGUGGGGAAUUUUCAGCAAUGGGCGAAAGCCUGACGGAGCAAUACCGCGUGAGGGAGGAAGGCUCUUGGGUUGUAAACCUCUUUUCUCAGGGAAGAACACAAUGACGGUACCUGAGGAAUCAGCAUCGGCUAACUCCGUGCCAGCAGCCGCGGUAAUACGGAGGAUGCAAGCGUUAUCCGGAAUGAUUGGGCGUAAAGCGUCCGCAGGUGGCUGUGUAAGUCUGCUGUCAAAGAGCAAAGCUCAACUUUGUAAAGGCAGUGGAAACUACACGGCUAGAGUGCGUUCGGGGCAGAGGGAAUUCCUGGUGUAGCGGUGAAAUGCGUAGAGAUCAGGAAGAACACCGGUGGCGAAGGCGCUCUGCUAGGCCGCAACUGACACUGAGGGACGAAAGCUAGGGGAGCGAAUGGGAUUAGAUACCCCAGUAGUCCUAGCUGUAAACG
This 759-nucleotide ribosomal RNA is filed under the name uncultured bacterium. Its description in RNAcentral is "bacterial SSU rRNA". It matches the Rfam family "Bacterial small subunit ribosomal RNA", at positions 1 to 808 of the family's 1533-position model. The record is from RNAcentral.